ACAGUCCAUUACACAACCCUGCGAUUACACAACCUCUCUCUUCAUGAAUUAGCAAUUAAUAUCAUUAAUCUGCCAUUUGAAUGCAGAAUUCGACGUUCCCAAUCCCCCAACCGACGAAUCACAAACGUUCCCGUUUGCCAUUCCCACCUUCCCAUUAAAGAGAGGUAAACCCUAGCAACCAGAUUCCCCAUUCCAAAACCUGCAAUCACUACAACAUAACCGAAGCUAAUUUCUGUCCAGAAAUCUCCAAUCUGAGAAAAAAAACUUGAAAUUCAUUCAUGGCGAUGGCGAAAUACGAUCUGACACCUCGAAUUGCUCCGAAUCUGGACCGGCAUCUCGUGUUCCCGCUGCUCGAAUUCACUCAGGAGCGUGAACUAUACCCGAACGAUCAGAUUCUCAAAGCGAAGAUCGAGCUUUUGAACAACACUAAUAUGGUUGAUUACGCUAUGGAUAUUCACAAAGUCUCUGUACCACACGGAUUAUGUUCCUCAAGUAACUAAAAGAUGUUCAUAACCUUAGAGAUCUUGCUGGUAGUGAACGCCUUUUCCAAGAGCGGGUCAACCGGGGAUCGGCUAAAAGAAACUCAGGAGUUUGUCAUCACGAAGUGAUGACAUAUUUGACAUAGCAAAGAAGGAAGAGCACAUACCUUAU
Helianthus annuus (common sunflower) is the source of this 651-nucleotide RNA transcript. It is a transcript of the gene named eukaryotic translation initiation factor 3 subunit E-like, with no coding region annotated. The record is from RefSeq and is a predicted model, not a curated record. Lineage: Eukaryota; Viridiplantae; Streptophyta; Magnoliopsida; Asterales; Asteraceae. The transcript is spliced from 3 exons.